CGAGGGGAGGGCGCCGCCGACCCGAGUGGGGUGCAGGCCGUCAGGGGUGCUGGCUGUGAAGAGCGGUCUGUGCCCCACAACUCCCGGCAGCCGGCUGCGUUAAACCAUGAGCUGCAUCCAGUCUUUUAGGAGCCUGGGGAGCCCAAGAUCAAGGUGUCAGCAGAUUUGGUGUCUGAAUCCGAGAGUCUUCUGAGACUGGAGCCUUUUCCUAUCAUACCAUCCAGCUAACACCAGCUCUCAAGAAGUAUGAUUUCAUUACUACAUCUAAAACCAACAGCUUUAUUGGAAAAUCAGAGCAAAGCCCCUCUGCCCCCUCGGUUCUGGUAGCAUCGGCGUCAGGCUCUGAGCAUCCGCUAGAAGUUCAACAUGGACAACAUCAGACUAAAAUCAAGAUAUUAUCAGGGCUUUAUUCCUUUCCGGAGGCUCUGGGGAAGAAUCUGUUUCCUAGUCUUUUCCAGCUUCUGCAGGACGCCUGCAUUCCUUGGCUCAUUCACCCUGCUUCCAUCUUCAAAGCCAGUAAUGGUGAGUUGAGUCCUCUUUACAUUACACCUUUCUGAUUCUCCAUAGUCACAUCUCCCUGAUCUCAACUGCUUUUAAGAAUUCAUGGGAUUAUUUGGAGUUCCCGUGGUGGCACAGUGGUUAACGAAUCUGACUGGGAAC
Sus scrofa (pig) is the source of this 660-nucleotide non-coding RNA. The record is from RefSeq and is a predicted model, not a curated record. NCBI's taxonomy places the organism in Eukaryota, Metazoa, Chordata, Mammalia, Artiodactyla, Suidae.